Molecule: long non-coding RNA, 940 nt
Organism: Onychostoma macrolepis
Lineage: Eukaryota; Metazoa; Chordata; Actinopteri; Cypriniformes; Cyprinidae
Exons: 3
Source: RefSeq, a predicted model, not a curated record
AAAAUUGAAUGAUGAACAUAAACUCCUUAGCAGGCAUCAUAAGAAGGACACUGUUACGCUGCAACACUGAGUGGUGAAGCACAUAAGAGAGUCCAGAGUUAUUGGUUUCUGAAGAAUGAUGGGCCACGUUCUGUUCAGAGUGUUCAUUUUCGUCACACUUAUCUCAUUUUAUCUUUAAGCUCUUUUGACUAAUAAAUAAUUCACAAUUAACAUUUUCUGAAGUCUUUUUUUAUUUUUUGGUGAUAUUUAAAUUUGAGACACAACAUUGCUUUUAAAAAGUGUGUUGUUAUACAGGAGGUUCUGAAUAUCCCUUCAGCAAUCCAACAUGAUGAAUAUACAUAAUAGUUCAUUAGGAUUUCUGCAGAUGUCCUAUAGGAAUUGAACACUAAUGCAAAUUAGAUUUCCUGUAGGUUUCCUGCAGGAGUCCUGCAUGUUUCCUGUAGGUUUCCUGCAGGAAGUCCUGCAUGUUUCCUGUAGGUUUCUGUAGGAUUCCUGCAGGAGUCCUACAGGAAAAUGGUCACGAAAAUCCUGUGGGAUCCUGUAGGAAUGUGCAGGUAUGUGGUGUGUAGGUCCUGCAGGAUUUUUCCUGCAGGAUUCCUGCAGGAUUUUUUUGUAAGGGUAUAUGUUCAUUAAAAGAGAGAGAGAGAAAAAAGAAAACACUGCUGUGAGAGUGCAACAAAUGCCCAUCUAGUUUUUUCAGCAGCCUUGUUUCCAGAAGUAUUUUUUCCCAUUUUUUCUUUCCAUAGGGAUUUAAAAAGUCUUAAGUAAAGAGUUAAAGCCAUGAACUAACCAUCUAUGAGGUGAAUCACAACACUACAAACUUCGAUUUGGAGCUAAAAAGUAUUUGAAAGUCAAACAAAAAGAUAAAGGUACACUUAAAGGGUUACUCCACCCCAAAAUGAAAAUUUUGUCAUAAAUCACUUACCUCUUAAUGAUUAAU